CGGGCCCACAGGCUGCUGGCCAGAGGUACUAGGAAGGUACAGGCGGGAGCUGGACGAGGACGCACUUUCCCCUGUCUUGGAAAGGUUGCGCAACGUCCCUCUCGGAGCCCGAUGCUUACGGAGCCCGAAGCUUACGGGCCACACACACAAGCACCUGGAUCCAUCAUUCGGCCACCUGACAGCUUCUGUGCCAACCUUGUAACGCUUUCUCCUUCCUCUAAAUUGUCUUUGAAGCUGGACAGCCCAUGACCCCAACACUUGAGAGGUGAAGGCAGGAGGAUCAGAAGUCCAAGGGUACUGUUCACAGUGCUGCUGGUCAAGCCCUAAGGUCAUGGGAAAAGAAGUCUGCCUUGCGCUCAUCUGUCUCCUGUUGGCUGUCCACAAGAUGGAGAAGGCGGAAGCAACCUGAGGAGUCCUCUUUGUCUGUAGGGAUAGAGGGUCCAUUGUGGAAGGGAGAGAUACAGGAACUAUAUAGGCGAGGCCCUACCAGCCCCGCAUCUCUUAUCUCCAGAAUUCUUUUACAGAAAAGAAAAAUAAACGUUUAUCUGGCUUAA
Molecule: long non-coding RNA, 554 nt
Filed under: Rattus norvegicus (Norway rat)
Lineage: Eukaryota; Metazoa; Chordata; Mammalia; Rodentia; Muridae
Description: long non-coding RNA NONRATT020977
Source: RNAcentral